Molecule: unclassified non-coding RNA, 378 nt
Filed under: uncultured Chlamydiales bacterium
Lineage: Bacteria; Pseudomonadati; Chlamydiota; Chlamydiia; Chlamydiales
Description: contains 16S-23S intergenic spacer region
Source: RNAcentral
UCCUGGUUAACCCAGGCAGUCUCACUAGAGUUCCCACCAUUACGUGUUGGCAACUAGUGAUAAGGGUUGCGCUCGUUGCGGGACUUAACCCAACACCUCACGGCACGAGCUGACGACAGCCAUGCAGCACCUGUAUAGCAGUCCCGAAGGAAGGGUACAUCUCUGUACCUGUCUACUAUAUGUCAAGACUGGGUAAGGUUCUUCGCGUUGCAUCGAAUUAAACCACAUGCUCCACUGCUUGUGCGGGUCCCCGUCAAUUCUUUUGAGUUUCACCCUUGCGAGCGUACUCCCCAGGCGGUAUACUUAUCGCGUUAGCUACGGCACAGCCAGGGUUGAUUCCAGCUACACCAAGUAUACAUAGUUUACGGUAAGGACUAC